AAUAUUGGACAAUGGGGGCAACCCUGAUCCAGCCAUGCCGCGUGUGUGAAGAAGGUCUUCGGAUUGUAAAGCACUUUAAGUUGGGAGGAAGGGCUUUAGGUUAAUACCCUGAAGUUUUGACGUUACCAACAGAAUAGUCACCGGCUAACUCGGUUCCAGAAGCCGCGGUAAAAUAGAGGGUGCAAGCGGUUGUAGGAAUUACUGGGCGUAAAGCGCGCGUAGGUGGUUCAGUAAGAUGGGUGUGAAAUCCCCGGGCUUAACCUGGGAACUGCUUUCAUAACUGCUGAGCUAGAGUACGGUAGAGGGUAGUGGAAUUUCCUGUGUAGCGGUGAAAUGCGUAGAUAUAGGAAGGAACACCAGUGGCGAAGGCGACUACCUGGACUGAUACUGACACUGAGGUGCGAAAGCGUGGGGAGCAAACA
This 422-nucleotide ribosomal RNA is filed under the name uncultured bacterium. Its description in RNAcentral is "partial 16S ribosomal RNA". It matches the Rfam family "Bacterial small subunit ribosomal RNA", at positions 360 to 774 of the family's 1533-position model. The record is from RNAcentral.